UGGAUGAACUUGAAACUUUCUCAGAGUGUU
This 30-nucleotide non-coding RNA is filed under the name Rattus norvegicus (Norway rat). Lineage: Eukaryota; Metazoa; Chordata; Mammalia; Rodentia; Muridae. The record is from RNAcentral.